UCCGGUUUGUCACCGGCAGUCCCCCUAGAGUGCCCAACUGAAUGCUGGCAACUAGGGGCGAGGGUUGCGCUCGUUGCGGGACUUAACCCAACAUCUCACGACACGAGCUGACGACAACCAUGCACCACCUGUCACCCUGUCCCCCCGAAGGGGGAACGCCCUGUCUCCAGGGUUGUCAGGGGAUGUCAAGACCUGGUAAGGUUCUUCGCGUUGCUUCGAAUUAAACCACAUGCUCCACCGCUUGUGCGGGCCCCCGUCAAUUCCUUUGAGUUUCAGCCUUGCGGCCGUACUCCCCAGGCGGAGUGCUUAACGCGUUAGCUACAGCACUAAAGGGUUUGACCCCUCUAACACUUAGCACUCAUCGUUUACGGCGUGGACUAC
This 381-nucleotide unclassified non-coding RNA is filed under the name uncultured Bacillaceae bacterium. RNAcentral's name for it is "contains 16S-23S intergenic spacer region". Lineage: Bacteria; Bacillati; Bacillota; Bacilli; Caryophanales; Bacillaceae. The record is from RNAcentral.